GACGAACGCUGGCGGCGUGCUUAACACAUGCAAGUCGAACGAUGAACCCGGAGCUUGCUCUGGGGGAUUAGUGGCGAACGGGUGAGUAACACGUGAGUAACCUGCCCUGGACUCUGGGAUAAGCGUUGGAAACGACGUCUAAUACCGGAUAGGACCUUGGAGCGCAUGAUCUGGGGUGGAAAGUUUUUUCGGUCUGGGAUGGACUCGCGGCCUAUCAGCUUGUUGGUGAGGUAAUGGCUCACCAAGGCGUCGACGGGUAGCCGGCCUGAGAGGGUGACCGGCCACACUGGGACUGAGACACGGACCAGACUCCUAAGGGAGGCAGCAGUGGGGAAGAUUGCACAAUGGGCGAAAGCCUGCUGCAGCAACGCCGCGUGCGGGAUGACGGCCGUCGGGUUGUAAACCGCUUUUAGUAGGGAAGAAGGGCUUCGGCUUGACGGUACCUGCAGAAAAAGGACCGGCUAACUACGUG
RNAcentral lists this ribosomal RNA (472 nucleotides) under uncultured bacterium. RNAcentral's name for it is "partial 16S ribosomal RNA". It matches the Rfam family "Bacterial small subunit ribosomal RNA", at positions 28 to 507 of the family's 1533-position model. The record is from RNAcentral.